CGCUGAUGUGCGCAGCCUGAUGCAGCGACGCCGCGUGAGGGAUGACGGCCUUCGGGUUGUAAACCUCUUUCACCAGGGACGAAGCGCGAGUGACGGUACCUGGAGAAGAAGCACCGGCCAACUACGUGCCAGCAGCCGCGGUAAUACGUAGGGUGCGAGCGUUGUCCGGAAUUACUGGGCGUAAAGAGCUCGUAGGCGGUUUGUCGCGUCGUCUGUGAAAUUCUGCAACUCAAUUGUAGGCGUGCAGGCGAUACGGGCAGACUUGAGUACUACAGGGGAGACUGGAAUUCCUGGUGUAGCGGUGAAAUGCGCAGAUAUCAGGAGGAACACCGGUGGCGAAGGCGGGUCUCUGGGUAGUAACUGACGCUGAGGAGCGAAAGCGUGGGUAGCGAACAGGAUUAGAUACCCUGGUAGUCCACGCCGUAAACGGUGGGUACUAGGUGUGGGGCUCAUUUCACGAGUUCCGUGCCGUAGCUAACGCAUUAAGUACCCCGCCUGGGGAGUACGGCCGCAAGGCUAAAACUCAAAGGAAUUGACGGGGGCCCGCACAAGCGGCGGAGCAUGUGGAUUAAUUCGAUGCAACGCGAAGAACCUUACCUGGGUUUGACAUACACCAGACGCAUGUAGAGAUACAUGUUCCCUUGUGGUUGGUGUACAGGUGGUGCAUGGCUGUCGUCAGCUCGUGUCGUGAGAUGUUGGGUUAAGUCCCGCAACGAGCGCAACCCUUGUCCUGUAUUGCCAGCGGGUUAUGCCGGGGACUUGCAGGAGACUGCCGGGGUCAACUCGGAGGAAGGUGGGGAUGACGUCAAGUCAUCAUGCCCCUUAUGUCCAGGGCUUCACACAUGCUACAAUGGCUGGUACAGAGGGCUGCGAUACCGUGAGGUGGAGCGAAUCCCUUAAAGCCAGUCUCAGUUCGGAUUGGGGUCUGCAACUCGACCCCAUGAAGUCGGAGUCGCUAGUAAUCGCAGAUCACCAACGCUGCGGUGAAUACGUUCCC
Molecule: ribosomal RNA, 997 nt
Filed under: Gordonia rubripertincta
Lineage: Bacteria; Bacillati; Actinomycetota; Actinomycetes; Mycobacteriales; Gordoniaceae
Description: bacterial SSU rRNA
Rfam family: Bacterial small subunit ribosomal RNA
Source: RNAcentral